RNAcentral lists this ribosomal RNA (278 nucleotides) under uncultured Staphylococcus sp. Its description in RNAcentral is "partial 16S ribosomal RNA". It matches the Rfam family "Bacterial small subunit ribosomal RNA", at positions 83 to 355 of the family's 1533-position model. The record is from RNAcentral. Lineage: Bacteria; Bacillati; Bacillota; Bacilli; Caryophanales; Staphylococcaceae.
CCUUUGACGUUAGCGGCGGACGGGUGAGUAACACGUGGGUAACCUACCUAUAAGACUGGGAUAACUUCGGGAAACCGGAGCUAUACCGGAUAAUAUUUCGAACCGCAUGGUUCGAUAGUGAAAGAUGGUUUUGCUAUCACUUAUAGAUGGACCCGCGCCGUAUUAGCUAGUUGGUAAGGUAACGGCUUACCAAGGCGACGAUACGUAGCCGACCUGAGAGGGNGAUCGGCCACACUGGAACUGAGACACGGUCCAGACUCCUACGGGAGGCAGCAGCC